GGUUGGGAGGUCGGGCAGUGAAUACUACCCUAAACUCGUAAUGAUCCCCUUCCGUAGGGGUAACCUGCGGAAGGAUCAUUACCGAGUUAGGGUAGUAUUCACUGCCCGACCUCCCAACCCUGUGUCUACCACACUUUGUCGUUGCUUCGGCGGACCGGUUGACCAACUGGUCAUGACCGCCGGGGGCUGGCUUUGUCCCCCCUGGAGAGCGUCCGCCGAUGGCCCAACCACAAAACUCUUGUACCGAAACGUGUCGUCUGAAUUAUGUUUGAGAAAUCAAAAACAAAACUUUCAACAACGGAUCUCUUGGUUCUGGCAUCGAUGAAGAACGCAGCGAAAUGCGAUAAGUAAUGCGAAUUGCAGAAUUUCCGUGAGUCAUCGAAUCUUUGAACGCACAUUGCGCCCAUUGGUAUUCCGAUGGGCAUGCCUGUUCGAGCGUCAUUAUCCUCCCUCAAACCUCGUGUUUGGUGUUGGACCGCGUUGGCCGAGCGACCAACUGGUCUCAAAGACAAUGACGGCGUCCGUGGGACCCUCGGUGCAACGAGCUUCUAAGGAGCACGCGUCGAGUUUCAAGGACCCUCCGGGCCGGUCUUAACCUCUAUCUUCUCAGGUUGACCUCGGAUCAGGUAGGAAUACCCGCUGAACUUAAGCAUAUCAAAAAGCGCGGG
Molecule: ribosomal RNA, 668 nt
Filed under: fungal sp. shylm14
Lineage: Eukaryota; Fungi
Description: eukaryotic LSU rRNA
Rfam family: 5.8S ribosomal RNA (bases 287-441)
Source: RNAcentral